UGAGCUGCUGACUGAGGUGUGAGGAA
RNAcentral lists this non-coding RNA (26 nucleotides) under Mus musculus (house mouse). The record is from RNAcentral. Lineage: Eukaryota; Metazoa; Chordata; Mammalia; Rodentia; Muridae.